UCCCUCGUGGCGCAAUGGCUAGCGCGUUCGACUGUUAAAUAAAUAGUAAUUCUAUACUUGCAAAUCUUGCAAUCUUGCAAUCGAGAGGUUGGUGGUUCGACCCCACCCGAGGGAGU
RNAcentral lists this transfer RNA (116 nucleotides) under Pseudogymnoascus destructans. RNAcentral describes it as "partial tRNA-Asn". It matches the Rfam family "tRNA". Rfam says of the family: Transfer RNA (tRNA) molecules are approximately 80 nucleotides in length. The record is from RNAcentral. Lineage: Eukaryota; Fungi; Ascomycota; Leotiomycetes; Thelebolales; Thelebolaceae.